UAACACGUGAGCAACCUACCUUCGAGUCGGGGAUAGCCCUGGGAAACCAGGAUUAAUACCCGAUGUGGUCACGACGGGACAUCCCGAUGUGAGUAAAGGCGAAAGCCGCUCGAUGACGGGCUCGCGGCCUAUUAGCUUGUUGGUGGGGUAAUGGCCUACCAAGGCGAUGAUGGGUAGCUGGUCUGAGAGGACGGUCAGCCACACUGGGACUGAGACACGGCCCAG
This 225-nucleotide ribosomal RNA is filed under the name uncultured bacterium. Its description in RNAcentral is "partial 16S ribosomal RNA". It matches the Rfam family "Bacterial small subunit ribosomal RNA", at positions 111 to 334 of the family's 1533-position model. The record is from RNAcentral.